This 1141-nucleotide ribosomal RNA is filed under the name uncultured bacterium. RNAcentral's name for it is "bacterial SSU rRNA". It matches the Rfam family "Bacterial small subunit ribosomal RNA", at positions 37 to 1169 of the family's 1533-position model. The record is from RNAcentral.
UAGCUACAGGCUUAACACAUGCAAGUCGAGGGGAAACGACAUCGAAAGCUUGCUUUUGAUGGGCGUCGACCGGCGCACGGGUGAGUAACGCGUAUCCAACCUGCCCACCACUUGGGGAUAACCUUGCGAAAGUAAGACUAAUACCCAAUGACGUCUCUAGAAGACAUCUGAAAGAGAUUAAAGAUUUAUCGGUGAUGGAUGGGGAUGCGUCUGAUUAGCUUGUUGGCGGGGUAACGGCCCACCAAGGCGACGAUCAGUAGGGGUUCUGAGAGGAAGGUCCCCCACAUUGGAACUGAGACACGGUCCAAACUCCUACGGGAGGCAGCAGUGAGGAAUAUUGGUCAAUGGACGAGAGUCUGAACCAGCCAAGUAGCGUGCAGGAUGACGGCCCUAUGGGUUGUAAACUGCUUUUAUAAGGGAAUAAAGUGAGUCUCGUGAGACUUUUUGCAUGUACCUUAUGAAUAAGGACCGGCUAAUUCCGUGCCAGCAGCCGCGGUAAUACGGAAGGUCCGGGCGUUAUCCGGAUUUAUUGGGUUUAAAGGGAGCGUAGGCCGGAGAUUAAGCGUGUUGUGAAAUGUAGACGCUCAACGUCUGCACUGCAGCGCGAACUGGUUUCCUUGAGUACGCACAAAGUGGGCGGAAUUCGUGGUGUAGCGGUGAAAUGCUUAGAUAUCACGAAGAACUCCGAUUGCGAAGGCAGCUCACUGGAGCGCAACUGACGCUGAAGCUCGAAAGUGCGGGUAUCGAACAGGAUUAGAUACCCUGGUAGUCCGCACGGUAAACGAUGGAUGCCCGCUGUUGGUCUGAAUAGGUCAGCGGCCAAGCGAAAGCAUUAAGCAUCCCACCUGGGGAGUACGCCGGCAACGGUGAAACUCAAAGGAAUUGACGGGGGCCCGCACAAGCGGAGGAACAUGUGGUUUAAUUCGAUGAUACGCGAGGAACCUUACCCGGGCUUGAAUUGCAGAGGAAGGAUUUGGAGACAAUGACGCCCUUCGGGGCCUCUGUGAAGGUGCUGCAUGGUUGUCGUCAGCUCGUGCCGUGAGGUGUCGGCUUAAGUGCCAUAACGAGCGCAACCCCUCUCCUUAGUUGCCAUCAGGUCAAGCUGGGCACUCUGGGGACACUGCCACCGUAAGGUGUGAGG